GCAUGGUCUUAGCGGCAGAGUUACUGGUUGGCAUGGUCUAAGAGGCAGAGUUACUGGUUCACAUGGUCUCAGCGACAAAGUUACUGGUUCACAUGGUCUCAGCGGCAGAGUUACUGGUUCACAUGGUCUCAGCGACAGAGUCACCGGUUCACAUGGUCUAUCAGCGACACAGUUACUGGUUCGCAUGGUCUCGGUGGCAGCCAUUAUGCAUGCAGUGGAAUUUAGCGGUAAAAGGAUGUAGUCUGGUACUCCCCAUCAGGUUAUAAUUUUGUUGGUGAGUGACUUGAACACCCUCUCUUCUGUAAAGUUGGGUGUAAUAGUCCAUAAAUACAACAGAGUACACAUUACCUCUGGAACUCUAUGGGAAAGAGCCCAUGAAAUCCCAGGGUCUUUCUGGAGCUGCUUUUCCUAAUUUGUAUUAUUAGCAGAGCUGAGCCCAAUCAACACCUAUGUACCAAAGCACUGUUUUAUAGGUCUUGUAUUUAUCGAAGAUAUCCUGAUAUUUAAUUCUCAUUAAACAUUCCAGGAAGGAGUUCUCAGAGACAUCCUGGUAUGUAGAGUUUCUAGAUGGUUUCAUCUGAAGGAGUUCCAAGAUGGCACAGCGGAUGGCAGCUUCAAAACAUGGAUCACCUCGUUCCACACCGCUGGACUGCACUAUGAGAGGGCACGAAUAUCAAGCAUUUGUGGGAUCACUAUGAACGCCCUAAGGCGAAAAGCUGGGACAGCUCUUUCCGGCAAUAUAGCGGGACAUUUGCAGGACGGCACUAUGAAAGAGGCUUCUUUGCCAUCUGUGAUAUUUGACUUCCAGCGCUGACAAAGUGACCGAUAUCUCUUUGAAUGGACUGACCCCAUAGUACAUCAAGGACCUCAUCCAAAUCUAUACUCCAGCGCUCAAAUUGAGGUCCGAGGGCCAGCUCCAGCCCGUGGUGCCUAGAGCGAGACUUAAAACCAGGGGGGACAGGGCUUUCUCUGUGGUGGGCCCCAGACUUUUGGAAUGCCCUCCCCCUCCACCAUGCCCCCACGGUGGAGUGCUUUAAGUCUCGUCUUAAGACCCAUUUUUAUUCCCUGGCUUUUUAACUUUGCGUGAGUUUUGUGGUCCUCUGUGUUUUUUAUUUCUUUGACUACUUCAAACUACGUCUUUUAUCUCUUUUACUAUCUGUUUGAUUUUAUUGUUUUAUUUAUAGCAUCAUUUUAGAGUAAUACACUUAUUAUUUUUUGC
Long non-coding RNA from Centropristis striata (black sea bass), 1219 nucleotides. RefSeq lists it as uncharacterized. The record is from RefSeq and is a predicted model, not a curated record. Lineage: Eukaryota; Metazoa; Chordata; Actinopteri; Perciformes; Serranidae. The transcript has 2 exons.